Molecule: long non-coding RNA, 575 nt
Filed under: Linum usitatissimum (flax)
Lineage: Eukaryota; Viridiplantae; Streptophyta; Magnoliopsida; Malpighiales; Linaceae
Description: long non-coding RNA (LUSI_LNC007468)
Source: RNAcentral
AAAUAUGAAUUUCAACUCCAUUAGUCUCAAAAAAUAAAAAAUUGUCAGAGAAUAAAUAACAAAAUACCAAAUAACAUAUAUGUUUACUUUCUAACUUCAAUUUUUUAUAGAUAAAGGAACAUAAAAUAUUAUGGAAGAAACAUUAUAUGGAUAAAGGGCAUCAUUCCUUUGUAUUUCACUGUUGUGAUGCGCCAGUUUAUCAAGUCUCUCAUGUUCCUCGAUGCGUCGUUGUUUCCGAUCAUCAAGGAUCCUCGUCAACACCUCGUCUUCUUCACUGCCACUGAGUGUUGUGGAGACGUUGCGGCGGGGGGAUGACAGGGCGGGAGAAUGACAGUUUGGUGAUAUCGGGUUGAGGAGUUCGAGAGGGUUGAUGGCUGUUGUUGUUGCUGUUUGUUGAAGGGAGGUUUGAUGGGGAGUAGAUGGCUUGUUUUGGGGUCGAUGCUGUCGAUGAUGAUUUAUGGGAGACGAUGGUGAUUGUGCGAGUCGAUGGUUAUGUGCGUUUGGUUUGAUGAUGUAGAUAAUACAGGGCUGGAGAUUGGUGUCGGCGCAAGCUCCCAACUCGGGAAGAGGAAACC